CACGUAGGGCGCAAGCGUUGUCCGGAAUUAUUGGGCGUAAAGAGCUCGUAGGCGGUCUGUUGCGUCCGCUGUGAAAACCUGGGGCUCAACUCCAGGCUUGCGGUCGAUACGGGCAGGCUAGAGUUCGGUAGGGGAGACUGGAAUUCCUGGUGUAGCGGUGAAAUGCGCAGAUAUCAGGAGGAACACCAGUGGCGAAGGCGACUACCUGGCCUGUUCUUGACGCUGAGGCGCGAAAGCUAGGGGAGCAAACGGG
RNAcentral lists this ribosomal RNA (253 nucleotides) under uncultured bacterium. Its description in RNAcentral is "partial 16S ribosomal RNA". It matches the Rfam family "Bacterial small subunit ribosomal RNA", at positions 524 to 776 of the family's 1533-position model. The record is from RNAcentral.